AAACAGUGAAAUGAGACCAGAGCUAUAAUACAAACAGUGUAAAGUGACUGGUUUGAAAAACAAUAUAUGGGACCAGGACCAAAAUAUACAAGAAUGGGACCAAUGCUAAAAUUGGUCAUGGUCCCAUGCACGGUCACACGGCCAGUCUAAGCGUGGGAUCGAAACAGAGUAAGAUGGAUAAUAUUUUGAUAGUGUUCGAUGUUACGUACAAAGAAAAUCGUGAAGAAUUGUGAAGAGGUCGCUCCUCUAGGAUUUAAGUGGCGGUGGUGUGACUUGGUGGGGUUGGCAUUUUGAUGGAUAUUAGCUCGAC
This 310-nucleotide small RNA is filed under the name Histoplasma ohiense. RNAcentral's name for it is "hypothetical lncRNA". The record is from RNAcentral. Lineage: Eukaryota; Fungi; Ascomycota; Eurotiomycetes; Onygenales; Ajellomycetaceae.